AACGGGUUAUUGGCUGCAUGUAAACGUAGUCUGUGAUACAUAACCUGUUAAUAAGGACAUAUUUAUCAUAUCUAGUAAAGAAGUGUUAACCACGAGUAACGCUUCUUUAAGUAGCCUCGUUGGGAUGGGGUCUAAGAGAUGGGUAGAUGGCUUAGCUGAAGACACCUUAAUAUUAAUUGUUGAAGGUCUAUAGGAUUAAAGCAGUUGUGACAGGAUGAGGUUUGCCCCUCCCUCUUACCUGUGCAUGGAAGUGCGCACCAGCACACCUGGGGCUCAUCCCCUUUGAUUGGGAGCAGGUGGGGGCUCUAUUUAAGCCUGUGUGUAGACUUGUUCUUUUUCUGUCUUCUCCUGUUGGGUGUGGAGACGUGUCUGGGCUGGCGUGCUGCAUGCUUUUUGCCACUGCCAGAGGUUGUCAGUUGCUGCAUCCUUCGUGCCUUUCAUUGUUUGUAUUUCCGUGCGGGUGGCAUUAACGAGCGUUUGUUUCGGCCGUGGACGUCCCUGUGUGGCCACAUGAACACCUGGGCUGCUGGCGUUGUGUGCCUCGUUGGGUGCUGUGUGGUUGCACGGAUUGCGUGCACCCCUGCUGGGGUCUGAGGGCGGCGUGUCCUGUAAAGCGCUGCAAAGAGCUACAGCCUUGUGCAUGCUGUUGUGGAGGCUGCCGGGGGCCACAGUUAUCUAAGCGGCCAACACUCCCCGGCGCAUUUCUCCUCCCACUCUUGCUGUUCUGGAUAUCGGCACAGGCUGUUCUGGAUACUGGUACAAAAAGUGUCUGGAAUUAUGGGACUGUUCUGGGCGCAUAGAGCUGGUUUGGAUUGAUACGGCUAAGCGUUUGAACACCCAGACAUUGACUUUGUAAAUAUUGGUAUUAACCUUGUAUAUAUUGCAUGUGGGUUUUUGUCCUUCUUUUCCUUGUGUUGAUUUUGGUUUAUUUUGUUCCUUUUAAUUAUGCAUGCUGGUUUGUUGUUUUGAAUUGUUUUGUUUAUUACUUUUCCAAUAUUCAUUGUAUGCUUUCUUCUAACCUAAAAGAUUCUACUAU
Long non-coding RNA from Perca fluviatilis (European perch), 1036 nucleotides. RefSeq lists it as uncharacterized. The transcript is spliced from 3 exons. Lineage: Eukaryota; Metazoa; Chordata; Actinopteri; Perciformes; Percidae. The record is from RefSeq and is a predicted model, not a curated record.